GGGCCCGCACAAGCGGUGGAGUAUGUGGUUUAAUUCGAUGCAACGCGAAGAACCUUACCAGGGCUUGACAUCCCGGGAACCCUGCCGAAAGGUGGGGGUGCCCUUCGGGGAGCCCGGAGACAGGUGGUGCAUGGCUGUCGUCAGCUCGUGUCGUGAGAUGUUGGAUUAAGUUCCGCAACGAGCGCAACCCUCGUGCCCUGUUGCCAGCGGGUAAUGCCGGGCACUCAGUGCAGACUGCCGCAGCAAUGUGGAGGAAGGUGGGGAUGACGUCAAGUCAGCAUGCCCCGUACGCCCUGGGCUACACACAUACUACAAUGCGAGGAGCAGACGGAUGCCAACCCGCGAGGGGGAGCUAAUCCGCGAAGGCCUCGCUCAGUGCAGAUUGCAGGCUGCAACUCGCCUGCAUGAAGGCGGAAUCGCUAGUAACCGUCGGUCAGCAUUACGACGGUGAAUACGUUCCCGGGCCUU
RNAcentral lists this ribosomal RNA (468 nucleotides) under uncultured bacterium. RNAcentral describes it as "bacterial SSU rRNA". It matches the Rfam family "Bacterial small subunit ribosomal RNA", at positions 917 to 1382 of the family's 1533-position model. The record is from RNAcentral.